UGGGGAAUAUUGCACAAUGGGGGAAACCCUGAUGCAGCGACGCCGCGUGGAGGAAGAAGGUCUUCGGAUUGUAAACUCCUGUUGUUGAGGAAGAUAAUGACGGUACUCAACAAGGAAGUGACGGCUAACUACGUGCCAGCAGCCGCGGUAAAACGUAGGUCACAAGCGUUGUCCGGAAUUACUGGGUGUAAAGGGAGCGCAGGCGGGAGAACAAGUUGGAAGUGAAAUCCAUGGGCUCAACCCAUGAACUGCUUUCAAAACUGUUUUCUUGAGUAGUGCAGAGGUAGGCGGAAUUCCCGGUGUAGCGGUGGAAUGCGUAGAUAUCGGGGAGGAACACCAGUGGCGAAGGCGGCCUACUGGGCACCGAACUGACGCUGAGGCUCGAAAGUGUGGGUAGC
Molecule: ribosomal RNA, 398 nt
Filed under: uncultured bacterium
Lineage: Bacteria
Description: bacterial SSU rRNA
Rfam family: Bacterial small subunit ribosomal RNA
Source: RNAcentral